Molecule: unclassified non-coding RNA, 592 nt
Filed under: uncultured bacterium
Lineage: Bacteria
Description: partial contains 16S ribosomal RNA, 16S-23S ribosomal RNA intergenic spacer, and 23S ribosomal RNA
Rfam family: tRNA (bases 121-194)
Source: RNAcentral
GGGWGAAGUCGUAACAAGGUAGCCGUAGGGGAACCUGCGGCUGGAUCACCUCCUUAAUCGAAGAUCCCGGCUUCUUCAUAAGCUCCCACACGAAUUGCUUGAUUCACUGGUUAGACGAUUGGGUCUGUAGCUCAGUUGGUUAGAGCGCACCCCUGAUAAGGGUGAGGUCGGCAGUUCGAAUCUGCCCAGACCCACCAAUUGUUGGUGUGCUGCGUGAUCCGAUACGGGGCCAUAGCUCAGCUGGGAGAGCGCCUGCUUUGCACGCAGGAGGUCAGGAGUUCGAUCCUCCUUGGCUCCACCAUCCAAACAAUCGUCGAAAGCUCAGAAAUGAAUGUUCGUGAAUGAACAUUGAUUUCUGGUCUUUGCACCAGAACUGUUCUUUAAAAAAUCGGGUAUGUGAUAGAAGUAAGACUGAAUGAUCUCUUUCACUGGUGGAUCAUUCAAGUCAAGGUAAAAUUUGCGAGUUCAAGCGCGAAUUUUCGGCGAAUGUCGUCUUCACAGUAUAACCAGAUUGCUUGGGGUUAUAUGGUCAAGUGAAGAANCGCAUACNGUGGAUGCCUUGGCAGUCAGAGGCGAUGAAGGACGUGCUUAA